This 797-nucleotide long non-coding RNA is filed under the name Homo sapiens (human). Its description in RNAcentral is "HSALNT0325892". The record is from RNAcentral. Lineage: Eukaryota; Metazoa; Chordata; Mammalia; Primates; Hominidae.
AUAUUUUCUGGGCCUGGCUGUUCAAGCUGCUGUUUGUGGGGGGCUCAGUAUAUGAUUAGAGUGGACAUUUCCUCUCUUGGAGAACUUUGAUGGAGUCCUCAGAGGUCGUCUAACUCUGGACCCUCUUCUCCUAUAGUCGCAUUGGUGUGCCCCAUGGAAUGAUUGAGACUGGCCGGGAGACAUCAAGAGGUAUUAAUGUGUAUUUUGCAAGGAAGGUGCAGGAGCUGGGGCCUUACCUGCAGUUGCUGAUGGAUUUCUUAGUGAGAAAAAUGGUUACAUGUUCAUUGUGAAUCUGCAAAGCGGGGGCACUACUCAUUGUUGUCACUCACGGGUAGAAGAAGCCAAUGGAGGCUCGAUUUGGACAUGAACUUCCCAGGGACUAGAGAAUGCGGCGCUUAAAACUUCUGCUAAAUUAUGUGUUUCCUUUGUGCUUCCAUUUCUUUGGCCACAGCAAGUCACAUGACAUGAUAGGAAACACAACCCUCCCACAAAGCCAGUGGAGAACUGGAAUCUUUGCAAAUGGCCCUCAAGCCUGUCAUCUAUGUGCAUGGUAACAGGAGAGGGAAUUGGAAAGGUGAGUUAGGGGCUGCUUUCUGAAGUUGUGUUUGCAAAACACACAAACCAGUUUAAUAUGGUCAGGCUUUGUGUCCCUGCCCAAAUCUCAUCUUGAAUUGUAAUCCCCAGAUGUUGAGGGAGAGACCUGGUGGGAAGUGACUGAAUCAUGGGGGCAGUUGCCCCCCUGCUGUUCUCAUGAUAGUGAUGAGUUCUCAUGAGAUCUGAUGGUUUUAUAAGGCAGU